CUAUGAGGCUAACACAAUUUGAACGGGGCAAAACGAAAUUAAAACGGAAAAUAUAUGAGUUUCCUAAGGUUCUAGAUUCAUUUCCACACUAAAUUCAUUUUCUAGAGUUUUAUUAAGUAAAUAUAAAUUCCCUGGGUCGUGGAUUAUAUUUCGUAAAAUAUCAGGGUCGAGUUUAUAAGAUUUUGGACUAAGUUGCGAUGAUCUUUCCUCUUACGUGGAUGGCGGAUUGAUUUACAGGUUCCCGAUGGGCUCUUUAGUGAAAAUGCCACCACGAACGGGGUAUCGGUUGAUCUAAGCUAUCUGAUCUAUAAUCAAUGGUCCAGAAUAGAUCCUAACCCCCGGGAACCGUUACCAAAUCUUGCCCAUCCACUACACGAUCAACGACCUGGAUUUAACUUAUCCACGAUCGGAUGAUGAGGUAUGGGAGCAUAGGAGCAGUUAGAUUGCAAACGUGCGGUCCAGAUUAGGAUCCCAUCCGAAACGGUACGCAGCACGCAAUCUCGGCCGCCCAAUCUAGAUCAACGGCCACGGACACAACUUCAAUCCUCCCGAUAGCCAGGGAUGGUGGAGCAGAGGUCCAUGACGGCGCUCUCGUCGGUGUGACGCGAUUGGGCGACCCGGAGCCCGAUUGAAGGCGCAACUAAAUGCUCAAUGACCUAGAGUAUGCAAUGAACCGAAUGAAUUGGGUUUUACCCUAAACAGCGACGACUGAGAUGCCGCCCACGGCGAUCUGUGGCCCACUGGGGAGGAGGGAGAUCUUGAGCAAUCCCGGCGACUCCGAGCGCACACUGACCACGGUGAAGCUUCGAACACCUUCCACGCCACACUGCGAAGCUCCUAGUACCGCACUCGAGAUUGGAGCUCCGAUGCGGACCCGAUUUCCCCACGGCGGCCCAUGCUCACCGACCUGAUGGUAAACUCGACGACGAUUUGGUUCGGGGGGUAGGCAGGUCUAGUUGAGGGGAUAGGGACGUCGUAGGGGCCUGGCUUUAUGGCUGAGGCAUGGAGGUCGGUUGGGGCAGCUGGUGCGACAGGGGGAAGAUCUCCGCUG
This 1051-nucleotide long non-coding RNA is filed under the name Zea mays. RNAcentral's name for it is "long non-coding RNA NONZMAT003376". The record is from RNAcentral. Lineage: Eukaryota; Viridiplantae; Streptophyta; Magnoliopsida; Poales; Poaceae.